RNAcentral lists this transfer RNA (73 nucleotides) under Xenophysogobio boulengeri. RNAcentral's name for it is "tRNA-Thr". Lineage: Eukaryota; Metazoa; Chordata; Actinopteri; Cypriniformes; Gobionidae. The record is from RNAcentral.
UGCCCUGGUAACUUUGCCUAGGGGUAUCGGUCUUGUAUUCCAAAGAUCAGAGGUUAAACCCCUCCCCAACGUU